UUAAACCAACGUUAAAAGACAAUAAAAACAUCUAUUUAAACUCACCCUAGUUACCACAUUUACACAAAGUCUUCAGCCCCCACAAAUACCUCAACAUGAGUAAUAUACCACUUAUAUAUCAUCGGAUUUCACAUCAAACAAGAUUUACAUGUGGAAACCCAAAAUGAACCCUCCAGAUCUACAUCCUCAGACCCAAUACAACACAAUCCCUGAUU
RNAcentral lists this long non-coding RNA (215 nucleotides) under Brassica napus (rape). Its description in RNAcentral is "long non-coding RNA (BNAP_LNC016300)". Lineage: Eukaryota; Viridiplantae; Streptophyta; Magnoliopsida; Brassicales; Brassicaceae. The record is from RNAcentral.